UACGUAGGGUGCGAGCGUUGUCCGGAAUUACUGGGCGUAAAGAGCUCGUAGGUGGUUUGUCGCGUUGUUCGUGAAAUCUCACGGCUUAACUGUGAGCGUGCGGGCGAUACGGGCAGACUAGAGUACUGCAGGGGAGACUGGAAUUCCUGGUGUAGCGGUGGAAUGCGCAGAUAUCAGGAGGAACACCGGUGGCGAAGGCGGCCUUCUGGACAGCAUCUGACGCUGAGACGCGAAAGCGUGGGGAGCAAACAGG
RNAcentral lists this ribosomal RNA (253 nucleotides) under uncultured bacterium. RNAcentral describes it as "partial 16S ribosomal RNA". It matches the Rfam family "Bacterial small subunit ribosomal RNA", at positions 524 to 776 of the family's 1533-position model. The record is from RNAcentral.